GUAAAUAUAGUUUAUCAAAACAUUAGAUUGUGAAUCUGAAGAUAGAAACUAAACUUUCUUAUUUACC
This 67-nucleotide transfer RNA is filed under the name Noctilio leporinus (greater bulldog bat). RNAcentral's name for it is "tRNA-His". It matches the Rfam family "tRNA". From Rfam's summary of the family: Transfer RNA (tRNA) molecules are approximately 80 nucleotides in length. Their secondary structure includes four short double-helical elements and three loops (D, anti-codon, and T loops). Further hydrogen bonds mediate the characteristic L-shaped molecular structure. tRNAs have two regions of fundamental functional importance: the anti-codon, which is responsible for specific mRNA codon recognition, and the 3' end, to which the tRNAs corresponding amino acid is attached (by aminoacyl-tRNA synthetases). tRNAs cope with the degeneracy of the genetic code in two manners: having more than one tRNA (with a specific anti-codon) for a particular amino acid; and 'wobble' base-pairing, i.e. permitting non-standard base-pairing at the 3rd anti-codon position. The record is from RNAcentral. Lineage: Eukaryota; Metazoa; Chordata; Mammalia; Chiroptera; Noctilionidae.